RNAcentral lists this ribosomal RNA (450 nucleotides) under uncultured bacterium. Its description in RNAcentral is "bacterial SSU rRNA". It matches the Rfam family "Bacterial small subunit ribosomal RNA", at positions 354 to 796 of the family's 1533-position model. The record is from RNAcentral.
GUGGGGAAUUUUGGACAAUGGGGGCAACCCUGAUCCAGCCAUGCCGCGUGCGGGAAGAAGGCCUUCGGGUUGUAAACCGCUUUUAGCCGGGAAGAAAAGGCGUCCACUAACACUGGGCGUUCUUGACGGUACCGGCGGAAUAAGCACCGGCUAACUACGUGCCAGCAGCCGCGGUAAUACGUAGGGUGCGAGCGUUAAUCGGAAUUACUGGGCGUAAAGCGUGCGCAGGCGGUUCGUUAAGUUUGCGGUGAAAGCCCCGGGCUCAACCUGGGAAUGGCCGUGGAAACUGGCGGGCUGGAGUGCGGCAGAGGGGGGUGGAAUUCCGCGUGUAGCAGUGAAAUGCGUAGAGAUGCGGAGGAACACCGAUGGCGAAGGCAGCCCCCUGGGCCGACACUGACGCUCAGGCACGAAAGCGUGGGGAGCAAACAGGAUUAGAAACCCCAGUAGUCC